UACGAAGGGGGCUAGCGUUGUUCGGAUUUACUGGGCGUAAAGCGCACGUAGGCGGAUCGAUCAGUCAGGGGUGAAAUCCCAGAGCUCAACUCUGGAACUGCCUUUGAUACUGUCGAUCUGGAGUAUGGAAGAGGUGAGUGGAAUUCCGAGUGUAGAGGUGAAAUUCGUAGAUAUUCGGAGGAACACCAGUGGCGAAGGCGGCUCACUGGUCCGGUACUGACGCUGAGGUGCGAAAGCGUGGGGAGCAAACAGG
This 253-nucleotide ribosomal RNA is filed under the name uncultured bacterium. Its description in RNAcentral is "partial 16S ribosomal RNA". It matches the Rfam family "Bacterial small subunit ribosomal RNA", at positions 524 to 776 of the family's 1533-position model. The record is from RNAcentral.